Molecule: microRNA precursor, 78 nt
Filed under: Schistosoma margrebowiei
Lineage: Eukaryota; Metazoa; Platyhelminthes; Trematoda; Strigeidida; Schistosomatidae
Description: mir-3492 microRNA precursor family
Rfam family: mir-3492 microRNA precursor family
Source: Rfam by way of RNAcentral
AGCCUUCUGUAGCUUUGCUGAUAUUUCGCCACACACCAAACCACAAGGGCUGAUGAGACUUCCAAGAUAAGUGAAGCG